AAUCUUCAACUCCCAAUCUAUUUGUUUUGGGGGCUUGGACUUGGGGCGUGCCGGCGAAGGUCGGCUCCUCUAAAAUGCAUCAGCGGAAUUCAACCUUUGGCUUCUGGAAGUCAGUGUGAUAACAACGUUGCGCUGUCCUCCGAGGCUUCAGAGUCCGCUUACAAUGGUCUUCGGACAACCUUCAUCGAAU
This 190-nucleotide unclassified non-coding RNA is filed under the name uncultured Atheliaceae. Its description in RNAcentral is "sequence contains ITS2". The record is from RNAcentral. Lineage: Eukaryota; Fungi; Basidiomycota; Agaricomycetes; Atheliales; Atheliaceae.